AUUGAACGCUGGCGGCAGGCUUAACACAUGCAAGUCGAGCGGGGAAGGGUAGCUUGCUACCUAACCUAGCGGCGGACGGGUGAGUAAUGCUUAGGAAUCUGCCAUUUAGUGGGGGACAACAUUCCGAAAGGAAUGCUAAUACCGCAUACGUCCUACGGGAGAAAGCAGGGGAUCUUCGGACCUUGCGCUAAAUGAUGAGCCUAAGUCGGAUUAGCUAGUUGGUGGGGUAAAGGCCUACCAAGGCGACGAUCUGUAGCGGGUCUGAGAGGAUGAUCCGCCACACUGGGAAUGAGAAACGGCCCAGACUCCUACGGGAGGUAGCAGUGGGGAAUAUUGGACAAUGGGCGGAAGCCUGAUCCAGCCAUGCCGCGUGUGUGAAGAAAGCCUUAUGGUUGUAAAGCACUUUAAGCGAGGAGGAGGCUACUUAGAUUAAUACUCUAGGAUAGUGGACGUUACUCGCAGAAUAAGCACCGGCUAACUCUGUGCCAGCCGCCGCGGUAA
RNAcentral lists this ribosomal RNA (501 nucleotides) under uncultured bacterium. RNAcentral's name for it is "partial 16S ribosomal RNA". It matches the Rfam family "Bacterial small subunit ribosomal RNA", at positions 30 to 523 of the family's 1533-position model. The record is from RNAcentral.